UGCCCAACGGGGCAGAGGGAUCCUCCUCCAGGCAUUGCUGAAUUUCCAUUACUCCAAGAGUAUGACAAAGUUUGGACAUAGAAGUCAUCUAGAAUUUCAUUAUUUACCAAUACAAGGCCAAGCAUGGUGAAAGGCAUUGCUCCAACUCCUCAUGUAUGUUGCUGGUUUCCAAAUUAGCUGUGGUCACCUUGGAAGGUGACCAGAGUAUCACUGAACGAUCUUAAGUGGAAACUUCUGCUGCAGAGAAGAAAAUACACUUCUUACAAACACGAGUCAUGGAUCUUUAACAGAGUGGAGCAUGGAUUGAACAUGUCAGCAGGUGAAACAGCAGCAGUUAUGUCUUUGAAGGAGGUGCAGAGCAUCAGCAGGUGGUCAGCUUUAAAUCAGCAAAGAGCAAACCUCACAAAGUCUGCUGUAGAGGGAAGCCACAUGAAGUUUGGAUGCUCUUUACAAAGCUCCAAACUGCCUAUCGUGAAACAAGGAGGUGUCCUACAGACUUUUAGAAUCUCCGUGCUCCCAGGAUAUGGAAUCCAGUUUGGGGACUCCUUUGGGUUGUGUUGACUCAGAAAUCAACCUCGGGCUCUAAGCCCUAGCAUGAGGCUGCAUGCAUCACUCUGGCAGCACAGCAGGGCUGCGGAGCAAGCAGCACCUCCUCUGCUACCAAACACCUCAUUGAUCCAUGUAUGCUGGAGAAAAGUUGAUUGGCUCCAUAAGAUCAAUGUUCAGGCCACAGUAAGACUGUGGCACCUGGACCAUGUCCACCCUGCCUAAAAUGUCCAGAAAAUCAAAUAUUUUGCUUUGGUCAAUGUCCAAAAGCACUUUCAGGAAAAGAUAAUUCAACUUCAUCAAAAAGCAAAUAAA
Molecule: long non-coding RNA, 861 nt
Organism: Pogoniulus pusillus (Red-fronted tinkerbird)
Lineage: Eukaryota; Metazoa; Chordata; Aves; Piciformes; Lybiidae
Exons: 4
Source: RefSeq, a predicted model, not a curated record